ACGUUAUGUGGGCGACUCUAAGGAGACUGCCGGUGACAAACCGGAGGAAGGUGGGGAGUGACGUCAAGUCAUCAUGGCCCUUACGGCCUGGGCUACACACGUGCUACAAUGGUCGGUACAAAGGGUUGCCAAGCCGCGAGGUGGAGCUAAUCCCAUAAAACCGAUCGUAGUCCGGAUCGCAGUCUGCAACUCGACUGCGUGAAGUCGGAAUCGCUAGUAAUCGUGAAUCAGAAUGUCACGGUGAAUACGUUCCCGGGCCUU
This 261-nucleotide ribosomal RNA is filed under the name uncultured Pseudomonas sp. RNAcentral's name for it is "partial 16S ribosomal RNA". It matches the Rfam family "Bacterial small subunit ribosomal RNA", at positions 1123 to 1382 of the family's 1533-position model. Lineage: Bacteria; Pseudomonadati; Pseudomonadota; Gammaproteobacteria; Pseudomonadales; Pseudomonadaceae. The record is from RNAcentral.